Molecule: long non-coding RNA, 663 nt
Organism: Camelus dromedarius (Arabian camel)
Lineage: Eukaryota; Metazoa; Chordata; Mammalia; Artiodactyla; Camelidae
Exons: 3
Source: RefSeq, a predicted model, not a curated record
UUCUACAAUCCUUUACAGGAAAUUCUAUAUGUGAAAAUUUUUCAACUGCUGUAUUGUUCCAUGGUCACAUAUGAAAUCUGCUUAAAACUACAUGGACUUGGUUCAGAAUGCAUAGCUGACACCUGAACAACUCAGGGGUUGGAGUACUGCCCCUCUGCACAGGACAGAGCAUUAGACAUGAGAAAUCACUGCAGCCCUGACCCUCUCUUUAUGACCCAGGCUCUUUGGGACUCAGCCCUGCCACAAAAGAUUCAGGAAGGUGCAAUGAAGGUCUCCAUUUUCUCCCACAGCCAGCACUGGAGCUGAAGGACAAGACUCUCCUUUGUCAUACCUCAAAAGUAGCCCUUGGUACUGUCACUCUUCCACUGUCACAGAAGCUAUGUUGUGUCUCCAUCUUGCUCCACACUGCUCAGGGAAGGAGGGAUGGAAUAUGGAACCCCUGUCACCACUAGCAAUGCCUUGACCCUUUAAGAAGAGAUCAUUCUCAGAGUGACUCACAGCCUCUCAAUGGCUCCUCUGACUCAUCCCUAAUUAAACAGAAGACCAUCCUUCCUUUGGGUUCAUGUUCCUUUUGUUUACUCUCUGAUGAUGGCAGGUGGAUGGAGUACUCAGUCUUUUGUCAUGUGGUCAAAAUUACAAUCCCAAGUAUAAAAUAAUCUGAUA